This 472-nucleotide ribosomal RNA is filed under the name uncultured bacterium. RNAcentral's name for it is "partial 16S ribosomal RNA". It matches the Rfam family "Bacterial small subunit ribosomal RNA", at positions 355 to 819 of the family's 1533-position model. The record is from RNAcentral.
UAGGGAAUCUUCGGCAAUGGACGAAAGUCUGACCGAGCAACGCCGCGUGAGUGAAGAAGGUUUUCGGAUCGUAAAACUCUGUUGUUAGAGAAGAACGUUGCAUAGAGUGGAAAAUUAUGCAAGUGACGGUAUCUAACCAGAAAGGGACGGCUAACUACGUGCCAGCAGCCGCGGUAAUACGUAGGUCCCGAGCGUUGUCCGGAUUUAUUGGGCGUAAAGCGAGCGCAGGUGGUUUAAUAAGUCUGAUGUAAAAGGCAGUGGCUCAACCAUUGUGUGCAUUGGAAACUGUUAGACUUGAGUGCAGUAGAGGAGAGUGGAAUUCCAUGUGUAGCGGUGAAAUGCGUAGAUAUAUGGAGGAACACCGGUGGCGAAAGCGGCUCUCUGGACUGUCACUGACACUGAGGCUCGAAAGCGUGGGUAGCAAACAGGAUUAGAUACCCUGGUAGUCCACGCCGUAAACGAUGAGUGCUAG